Long non-coding RNA from Amphiprion ocellaris (clown anemonefish), 259 nucleotides. NCBI's taxonomy places the organism in Eukaryota, Metazoa, Chordata, Actinopteri, Pomacentridae. The record is from Ensembl.
CCUGGUGUCAUUCCAUCAGUGUUAAACUUCCCGGCUCAUCUUGGAAGAGUACGUGCCAGAAAGACCACGACCAAGCAGCCUUGAGAUCUUAGGCAGCGUCUCCCUGAGACCAAAGAACUACAGACUCUUCACAACCUGCUCAAACUCUUGGUACAGGACCUCACCACACGGGUCAAGAAGGUUUCCUUCUCAUUUCUACUCUGAAGCUCACCUUCUCCUGCUCAAACUGCUGACAAAUGUUUCUGCUGCUCUAAAGUCU